UACGGAGGGUGCAAGCGUUAUCCGGAUUUACUGGGUUUAAAGGGUGCGUAGGCGGGUCUUUAAGUCAGUGGUGAAAGCUCCGAGCUUAACUCGGAAACUGCCAUUGAUACUAUUGGUCUUGAAUUCGGUCGAGGUUGGCGGAAUGUGUCGUGUAGCGGUGAAAUGCUUAGAUAUGACACAGAACACCGAUUGCGAAGGCAGCUAGCUAGACCGACAUUGACGCUGAGGCACGAAAGCGUGGGGAUCAAACAGG
RNAcentral lists this ribosomal RNA (253 nucleotides) under uncultured bacterium. Its description in RNAcentral is "partial 16S ribosomal RNA". It matches the Rfam family "Bacterial small subunit ribosomal RNA", at positions 524 to 776 of the family's 1533-position model. The record is from RNAcentral.